AGCAGCCGCGGUAAUUCCAGCUCCAAUAGCGUAUAUUAAAGUUGUUGCAGUUAAAAAGCUCGUAGUUGAAUUUCGGGGUUAGUAGAUUGGUCGUGCCACGGGUAUGUACUGGUCUUACUGAUUCCUCCUUCCUGAUGAACCGUAAUGCCAUUAAUUUGGUGUUGCGGGGAGACUGGACUGUUACUUUGAAAGAAUUAGAGUGUUUAAAGCAAGCCUACGCUUGAAUACAUUAGCAUGGAAUAAUGAAAUAGGACGUUCGAUCCUAUUUUGUUGGUUUCUAGGAUUGACGUAAUGAUUAAUAGGGAUAGUUGGGGGCAUUAGUAUUCAAUUGUCAGAGGUGAAAUUCUUGGAUUUAUUGAAGACUAACUACUGCGAAAGCAUUUGCCAAGGAUGUUUUCAUUAAUCAAGAACGAAAGUUAGGGGAUCGAAGACGAUCAGAUACCGUCGUAG
This 450-nucleotide ribosomal RNA is filed under the name uncultured Glomeromycotina. RNAcentral describes it as "SSU rRNA". It matches the Rfam family "Eukaryotic small subunit ribosomal RNA", at positions 569 to 1023 of the family's 1831-position model. Lineage: Eukaryota; Fungi; Glomeromycota. The record is from RNAcentral.